UAUACCGUGAAACUGCGAAUGGCUCAUUAAAUCAGUUAUCGUUUAUUUGAUAGUACCUUACUACUUGGAUAACCGUGGUAAUUCUAGAGCUAAUACAUGCUGAAAACCCCGACUUCGGAAGGGGUGUAUUUAUUAGAUAAAAAACCAAUGCCCUUCGGGGCUCCUUGGUGAUUCAUGAUAACUUCUCAGAUCGCAUGGCCUUGCGCCGGCGACGGUUCAUUCAAAUUUCUGCCCUAUCAACUUUCGAUGGUAAGGUAUUGGCUUACCAUGGUUUCAACGGGUAACGGGGAAUUAGGGUUCGAUUCCGGAGAGGGAGCCGGAGGAACGGCUACCACAUCCAAGGAAGGCAGCAGGCGCGCAAAUUACCCAAUCCCGACACGGGGAGGUAGUGACAAUAAAUACUGAUACAGGGCUCUUUUGGGUCUUGUAAUUGGAAUGAGUACAAUUUAAACCUCUUAACGAGGAACAAUUGGAGGGCAAGUCUGGUGCCAGCAGCCGCGGUAAUUCCAGCUCCAAUAGCGUAUAUUAAAGUUGUUGCAGUUAAAAAGCUCGUAGUUGAACCUUUGGCCUGGCUGGCAGGUCCGCCUCACCGCGUGCACUUGUCCGGCCGGGCCUUCUUUUCUGGAGAACCGCAUGCCCUUCACUGGGUGUGUUGGGGACCAGGACUUUUACUUUGAAAAAUUAGAGUGUUCAAGCAGGCCUUUGCUCGAAUACGUUAGCAUGGAAUAAUAGAAUAGGACUGGCGGUCCUAUUUUGUUGGUUUCUAGGACCGCCGUAAUGAUUAAUAGGGACAGUCGGGGGCAUCAGUAUUCAAUUGUCAGAGGUGAAAUUCUUGGAUUUAUUGAAGACUAACUACUGCGAAAGCAUUUGCCAAGGAUGUUUUCAUUAAUCAGUGAACGAAAGUUAGGGGAUCGAAGACGAUCAGAUACCGUCGUAGUCUUAACCAUAAACUAUGCCGACUAGGGAUCGGGCGGUGUUAUUAUUUUGACUUCGCUCGGCACCUUACGGAGAAA
Molecule: ribosomal RNA, 1013 nt
Filed under: Halobyssothecium estuariae
Lineage: Eukaryota; Fungi; Ascomycota; Dothideomycetes; Pleosporales; Lentitheciaceae
Description: SSU rRNA
Rfam family: Eukaryotic small subunit ribosomal RNA
Source: RNAcentral